UCGUCGAGUCAAAGUGCGCGGAUCGCUUAAAAGGCGAACAACCCACCUGAUAUUCCGUUCAUAUUCCUGUUCACAAUAAUUAAAUAUUUGUUAAGUGCAAGUUAAUGUGUCAGUUGUUGCCGUCUUGUUGAGUCAAGUUCGUUUAGCGAGUGCAAGGUGCAAAAGUGAGCUAAUAUCCGAGGCAGCAAGUUUCUGUUGGAAAGCCAAGCGAACAAGAUGGGAAAGUUCGAGUACUCACUGGGUCUCAAUGAGCUCAAAUCCAAGGAGCUGCGUUUGUGGCAGGCCCUGAUUGGAGAAUUCCUAGGUAAUCUGAUCCUUAAUUUCUUUGCCUGCGGAGCAUGCACACAGGAUCAAGAUGGAACCUUCAAAGCCCUGGCCUUUGGCCUGGCCAUUUUCAUGGCCAUAACGAUUGUGGGUCACCUGAGUGGUGGACAUGUGAAUCCUGCCGUCACUGCUGGCAUGUUGGUAGCAGGACGAAUCAGCUUCAUCCGGGCCAUUUUCUAUGUGGUAUUCCAGUGUCUGGGAUCUAUUGCAGGAACAGCAGCUGUCAGGAUCCUCAUCGAUCAAGACUACUACAAUGGCCUGGGUCACACCAGCCUGGCUACCAAUAUCACCGAACUGCAGGGUCUGGGCAUUGAGUUCUUCCUGGGCCUGCUUCUGGUGCUCGUGGUGUUUGGAGCCUGUGAUGCCAACAAACCCGACUCACGCUUCACUGCCCCCCUGGCCAUUGGUAUGGCUGUGACCUUGGGCCACCUGGGCACCAUUCGUUACACGGGUGCCAGCAUGAAUCCUGCUCGCACUGUGGGCACUGCCUUUGCCACCGAUAAUUGGACUUCUCAUUGGGUUUACUGGGCUGGGCCCAUACUGGGGGGCGUGACCGCCGCCCUGCUGUACACCCAGGUGCUGGAGGCUAAGCCGGCGCCGAAGACGAACGAGGCGGCCGAGAAGUACCGAACGCACGCCGAUGAACGCGAGGUGAGAGUACGAUUGAUAAGCGCCUGGAGCGAGGAGUCCUUCUUCUGAUCAGUGAUCAGUGAUCAGUGAUCAGUGAUCACUUGUAACAUACACUCACACUGUCAUACACACACACACAGACACAUCUCUCACCGCAUUAUGCGCAAACUGGAAGGAGCUCGCGACUAUGCUUAGAAAUUAAGGAAAUUCAGCAACUCGAAUCUAGAGAGUUAGAGAGAGGGAAGAGGGUUACGAAAACCCAAUCAUUGCAGUGUCUAUCCAUAUACUUAUGUCGUGUACUUUCCCCCUGUUCGUGUGUAUUUAUGUGUAUUUAUUCAUGAAAAGUUCAUUUUUUAUUUAACUAAUAUUUAAAUGUCUAAGCUGCCCCUAAAAAAGAUGCAAAUUCUGCAAAGCAAAAACAAUCACUUGUAUUCUCAUGCGUUCACAAUAAAGUGGAAAAAACAUUAACUGAAUUAUAA
Drosophila kikkawai is the source of this 1433-nucleotide RNA transcript. It is a transcript of the gene named aquaporin prip, with no coding region annotated. Lineage: Eukaryota; Metazoa; Arthropoda; Insecta; Diptera; Drosophilidae. The record is from RefSeq and is a predicted model, not a curated record.